This is a non-coding RNA of Pelobates cultripes (western spadefoot toad), 203 nucleotides long. The record is from the annotation of a GenBank genome assembly. Lineage: Eukaryota; Metazoa; Chordata; Amphibia; Anura; Pelobatidae.
CUCAGUAGCUUCAUAUUUAAUACUCGUAAUCACUCUUUCAAAUUAGGUUUAAGACAAACAUAUGCUGUGGGCACAUCUUCCCUUUGAAGAACUGAGCUAUGCAUGGAAUGUUACAAAACAGAAAAAUAUGUAUAUGCUCUGUUUAUUGCUGUUAGGUUGAUAUAUAGCAUUUUAUUCAAACUGACUACACUGGUCUGAUUGCA